GGGAGUAUGGCUGAGUGGUUUAAGCACGAAACUGUUAAUUUCGGUAACAGGGGUUCGAAUCCUCUUGCUCCCG
This 73-nucleotide transfer RNA is filed under the name Caudoviricetes sp. RNAcentral's name for it is "tRNA-Asn". It matches the Rfam family "tRNA". Rfam says of the family: Transfer RNA (tRNA) molecules are approximately 80 nucleotides in length. Their secondary structure includes four short double-helical elements and three loops (D, anti-codon, and T loops). The record is from RNAcentral. Lineage: Duplodnaviria; Heunggongvirae; Uroviricota; Caudoviricetes.